AACGAACGCUGGCGGCAUGCCUAACACAUGCAAGUCGAACGAGACCUUCGGGUCUAGUGGCGCACGGGUGCGUAACGCGUGGGAACCUGCCUUUAGGUUCGGAAUAACUCAGAGAAAUUUGAGCUAAUACCGGAUGAUGUCUUCGGACCAAAGAUUUAUCGCCUUUAGAUGGGCCCGCGUUGGAUUAGCUAGUUGGUGGGGUAAAGGCCUACCAAGGCGACGAUCCAUAGCUGGUCUGAGAGGAUGAUCAGCCACACUGGGACUGAGACACGGCCCAGACUCCUACGGGAGGCAGCAGUGGGGAAUAUUGGACGAUGGGCGAAGGCCUGAUCCAGCAGUGCCGCGUGAGUAAUGAAGGCCUUAGGGUUGUAAAGCUCUUUUACCAGAGAUGAUAAUGACAGUAUCGGGAGAAUAAGCUCCGGCUAACUCCGUG
This 433-nucleotide ribosomal RNA is filed under the name uncultured bacterium. RNAcentral's name for it is "partial 16S ribosomal RNA". It matches the Rfam family "Bacterial small subunit ribosomal RNA", at positions 29 to 507 of the family's 1533-position model. The record is from RNAcentral.